This 259-nucleotide ribosomal RNA is filed under the name uncultured bacterium. Its description in RNAcentral is "partial 16S ribosomal RNA". It matches the Rfam family "Bacterial small subunit ribosomal RNA", at positions 96 to 353 of the family's 1533-position model. The record is from RNAcentral.
UGGCGGACGGGUGAGUAACGCGUGGGUAACCUGCCCUGUACAGGGGGAUAACAGUCAGAAAUGACUGCUAAUACCGCAUAAGACCACAGCACCGCAUGGCGCAGGGGUAAAAACUCCGGUGGUACAGGAUGGACCCGCGUCUGAUUAGCUGGUUGGUGAGGUAACGGCUCACCAAGGCGACGAUCAGUAGCCGGCUUGAGAGAGUGAACGGCCACAUUGGGACUGAGACACGGCCCAAACUCCUACGGGAGGCAGCAUG